RNAcentral lists this ribosomal RNA (801 nucleotides) under uncultured Bacillota bacterium. RNAcentral's name for it is "bacterial SSU rRNA". It matches the Rfam family "Bacterial small subunit ribosomal RNA", at positions 71 to 850 of the family's 1533-position model. Lineage: Bacteria; Bacillati; Bacillota. The record is from RNAcentral.
AAAAUCCCGCAAGGGAUCAGUAGAGUGGCAAACGGGUGAGUAACGCGUGGGCGACCUACCUUCGAGUGGGGGAUAACCUUCCGAAAGGAGGGCUAAUACCGCAUGACAUCCUGUCUUUAGAUAGGUGGAGAUCAAAGCUGGGGAUCGUAAGACCUGGCGCUUGAAGAGGGGCCCGCGUCCGAUUAGCUAGUUGGUGAGGUAACGGCUCACCAAGGCUCCGAUCGGUAUCCGGCCUGAGAGGGCGGACGGACACACUGGAACUGAGACACGGUCCAGACUCCUACGGGAGGCAGCAGUGGGGAAUUGUUCGCAAUGGGCGCAAGCCUGACGACGCAACGCCGCGUGGAGGAUGAAGACCUUCGGGUCGUAAACUCCUUUCGACCGAGAUGAAUGCCCUUCCAUCUAAUACAUGGAAGGAUUGACAGUAUCGAGGGAAGAAGCCCCGGCUAACUCCGUGCCAGCAGCCGCGGUAAUACGGGGGGGGCAAGCGUUGUUCGGAAUUACUGGGCGUAAAGGGUUCGUAGGUGGCCAACUAAGUCAGACGUGAACUCCCUCAGCUUAACUGGGGAACUGCGUCUGAUACUGGUUGGCUUGAGUGCAGGAGAGGAAUGCGGAAUUCCAGGUGUAGCGGUGAAAUGCGUAGAUAUCUGGAGGAACACCGGUGGCGAAGGCGGCAUUCUGGACUGCAACUGACACUGAUGAACGAAAGCCAGGGGAGCAAACGGGAUUAGAUACCCCGGUAGUCCUGGCCCUAAACGAUGAAUGCUUGGUGUGGCGGGUAUCGAUCCCUGCCGUGCCGUA